Molecule: unclassified non-coding RNA, 34 nt
Filed under: synthetic construct
Description: RNA (34-MER) from synthetic construct (PDB 3OVA, chain C)
Source: RNAcentral
GGAAGUAGAUGGUUCAAGUCCAUUUACUUCCACC